This is a long non-coding RNA of Nerophis ophidion (straightnose pipefish), 404 nucleotides long. RefSeq lists it as uncharacterized. Lineage: Eukaryota; Metazoa; Chordata; Actinopteri; Syngnathiformes; Syngnathidae. The record is from RefSeq and is a predicted model, not a curated record. The transcript is spliced from 3 exons.
GGCAGUGUUUAGGACUGUGGAAAGCCGUUUUUGAUGCAACUACGCCAGGCUGCCGAAGGGAGCGCUGUGACGCCUCAAAUAUGGGGAUUUUGCCAGAGAAGAAACACCAGCUUUCAUUCAUAAUUUCCAGGGCGCAGAGCCAGGAGGCCCAUCAAUGUGGGUGUAGCGUACGGAGGAAAUGGUGUGUAAUUUUGCCACCUGACACUUGUGCAUCCACCAUUAGAUGAGCCCAGCCGUCUCUACAGGUGACCCAGCACCAUGCCAUAACAUAGUCAGCUGGUACACUCAGAUGUUCCCCCAAAGCUCUAAUUCCAUCAUGGCUGACACAAACGAGGAAACGCGAGCCAACGGCUGGAAAAACGACUCGCACUUCUUUAAAAAAUAAAAAAAAGGUGGGAGCAGCU